UAGGGAAUCUUCGGCAAUGGGGGGAACCCUGACCGAGCAACGCCGCGUGAGUGAAGAAGGUUUUCGGAUCGUAAAGCUCUGUUGUUAGAGAAGAACAGCGCAUAGAGUAACUGUUAUGCGUGUGACGGUAUCUAACCAGAAAGCCACGGCUAACUACGUGCCAGCAGCCGCGGUAAUACGUAGGUGGCAAGCGUUGUCCGGAUUUAUUGGGCGUAAAGCGAGCGCAGGCGGAAAUGCAAGUCAGGUGUAAAAGGCAGUAGCUUAACUACUGUAAGCAUUUGAAACUGCAUAUCUUGAGAAGAGUAGAGGUAAGUGGAAUUUUUAGUGUAGCGGUGAAAUGCGUAGAUAUUAAAAAGAAUACCGGUGGCGAAGGCGACUUACUGGGCUCAUUCUGACGCUGAGGAACGAAAGCGUGGGUAGCAAACAGG
This 428-nucleotide ribosomal RNA is filed under the name Bacteroidota bacterium. RNAcentral describes it as "Bacteroidetes bacterium partial 16S ribosomal RNA". It matches the Rfam family "Bacterial small subunit ribosomal RNA", at positions 355 to 776 of the family's 1533-position model. Lineage: Bacteria; Pseudomonadati; Bacteroidota. The record is from RNAcentral.